Molecule: ribosomal RNA, 2796 nt
Filed under: Triticum aestivum (bread wheat)
Lineage: Eukaryota; Viridiplantae; Streptophyta; Magnoliopsida; Poales; Poaceae
Description: partial small subunit ribosomal RNA
Source: RNAcentral
AUGGAGGCGGCUCUGGUGAGUGCGGCGACGGGUGCCUUGAAGCCCGUCCUUGGGAAGCUGGCCACCAUUUUGGGUGACGAGUACAAGCGUUUCAAAGGCGUGCGUGGUGAGAUCAAAUCGCUCUCUAGCGAACUCACCGCCAUGGAAGCGUUUCUUCUGAAGAUGUCAGAGGAGGAGGAUCCUGAUGUUCAGGAUAAGGUGUGGAUGAAUGAGGUCCGGGAGCUCUCCUAUGACAUGGAGGACUCCAUUGAUGACUUCAUGCAAAGUGUCGGCAGCGAAGAUACAAAGCCAGAUGGCUUCUUGGAGAAGAUGAAGAACUCAUUGGGAAAGAUGGGGAAGAUGAAGGCUCGUCGGCGAAUAGGCAACGAGAUAGGAGAUCUGAAGAAGCAAAUCAUCGAGGUGGCGGAGAGGAAUGCAAGGUACAAGGCCCAUGAGGCCUUCUCCAAGGCCAAGAAUACAACCAUUGAUCCUAGAGCUCUUGCUAUCUUUCAGCAUGCCUCCGAGCUUGUCGGAAUUGAUGAACCCAAGGCUGAGUUAAUUAAACUAUUGACUCAAGGUGUGUCAACACAAGAGAAAAUAAAGUUGGUAUCCAUAGUAGGAUCCGGUGGAAUGGGCAAGACAACUCUUGCAAAUCAAGUGUAUGAAGAUCUCAAAGGAGAAUUCCAAUGUCAGGCCUUCAUAUCUGUGUCUAGAAAUCCAGAGAUGAUGAAUAUCAUGAGAACUAUUUUUAGUGAAGUCAGUGGGAAAGAUUAUGCUAACACUGAAGCAGGUAGUAUACAACAACUCAUUAGCAAGAUCGCCGAUUUCCUGGCAGACAAAAGGUAUUUUGUUGUUGUUGAUGACAUAUGGGAUGUGGAUACAUGGCAUGUUCUUAAGCAUGCAUUUCCGGUGAAAAGUUCAGGCAGUAUCAUAAUCACUACUACUCGUAUAAAUGAUGUUGCUGAAUCAUGUCGUUCAACACCAUUUAGUGGAGAUAUUUAUUGCAUAAGGCCUCUUGACAUGGUGCACUCCAGGCAAUUGUUUUACACAAGAUUAUUCAACGUCGAAGAAAAUUGCCCCUCAUACCUUAAAAAGGUUUCUGAGCAUAUUUUGAGAAAAUGUGCUGGAUUGCCUUUGGCAAUCAUUGCUAUAUCUGGUUUGUUGGCUAAUACUGAAAGGACAGAGGGUCCAUGGAAACAAGUUGAAGAUUCGAUUGGUCGAGCACUUCAAAGAAAUCCCAGUGUUGAAGGAAUGAUGAAGAUACUAUCACUUAGUUACUUUGAUCUGCCUGCUCAUCUGAAAUCUUGUCUUUUAUGUUUGAGUAUAUUCCCUGAAGAUUCUGUUAUCAGUAAGAAAAUUUUGAUAAAGAGGUGGAUUGCUGAAAGAUUAAUUCAUACAGAAGCCGGAUAUAGUACAACAUAUGAGUUUGGUGAAAGGUGUUUUAAUGAGCUCAUCAAUAGGAGUUUGAUCCAACCCGCGGAAACCAACAAAUAUGGUAUGGUAAAGUACUGUCGAAUUCAUGACACAGUUCUUGAUUUCAUCAUAUCCAAAUCCAUCGAAGAAAACUUUGUUACUUUGGUAGGUGUUCCUAGUUUAACUGUUGGCACACGAGUUCGCCGGCUGUCCCUGCAAGCCGGCAAGCAAAAAGAAUUGAUAGUGCCAAAAGGCUUGGUGUUGUCUCAUGUCCGAUCACUUGAUGUGUUUGGAGAAUCUGUGAAAAUCCCUUCUAUGGAUAAGUUCAGGCAUUUGCGUUUUCUGGACUUUGAAGGUUGCAAACAACUGGAGAACCAUCAUCUUAAAAAUAUAGAUAACUUGUUUCAGCUGAGGUACCUGAGCCUUCAUGGGGUGAAGAAAGUAAGCAACCUCCCAGAACAAAUUGGACGCCUAUGGUGCUUAGAGAUACUGGACUUAACUGAUACGUCUGUUUAUGAGUUACCAGCAUCUAUUGUCAAUCUCAAGAGACUGGUGCACCUAUUGGUAAACCUGUAUGUAACACUUCCUUGUGGAAUUCCCAAGCUGCAAGCACUGGAGAAAUUGAAGCAUGUCAAUGUCUAUUGUCAGUCAUUUAACUUCCUGCAAGAAUUUGAGCAGAUGCAGAGUCUUAAAGUAUUGCACCUUCAUUUUGAGGAUUAUUAUUUUGUUGAGGGAAUGGACGCUGAAAAUGAGUCCAAGAAAACUAUUAUUGCCACUUCCCUUACAAACCUAGGGAACCUUCUCUCUCUAACUGUUUGUGACGGCCCUGAAUUUGUAAGGGAGUCUUUGUGCCCUAUGCCACUUAGCCUCCAGAAGCUGAAAGUCUUGAAUUCUAGUAUUCCCCAUGUUCCAAAUUGGGUGGGCUCCCUUAUCAACCUCCAGAAAUUACGCCUUGAAUUGGUGAGAGCUGAGCAGGAAGAUUUAUAUAUCCUUGGAGGCUUACCUGUUCUGCAUUGUCUGAUUCUGAGAAUUGAUGGCCAUGAAAUUAGAAAUACCUCAUUAACAGAAGAGCUCGAAGUUACAAGGGUCAUAGUCUGUGGUGAAGUUGGAUUCCCAUGCUUGAGGAUAUUUAUUUUUGAUAGUCAGUGUGCUGUGAUGAAUUUGACCUUUGCGGCUGGAGCCAUGCCCUUGGUAGAUGACCUCUUGAUAGUAUUUAACGCAGAAGAAACUGGGUCUCCCGGUACCAGCGGUGAUUUUGAUCUCGGAAUAGAAAAUCUCCUCAGCCUCGUUAAAAUCAGAUGUGUAGUAUGGGGAGACGAGGACGACAGAGUUGAGGCUGCAGAAGCUGCCAUUCGGGAAGCAGCCAACGCACAUCCCAACCGCCCUACUCUACGCUUGGACUGA